RNAcentral lists this transfer RNA (71 nucleotides) under Cyrtodactylus doisuthep (Doi Suthep bent-toed gecko). Its description in RNAcentral is "partial tRNA-Asn". Lineage: Eukaryota; Metazoa; Chordata; Lepidosauria; Squamata; Gekkonidae. The record is from RNAcentral.
GGCUGAAGCCCGCUGGCUUAGGUGUUUAGUUGUUAAUUAAAAUUUUACGGGAUCGAGGCCCGUCAGCCAAG